AGUGAACGCUGGCGGUAGGCCUAACACAUGCAAGUCGAACGGCAGCACAGUAAGAGCUUGCUCUUACGGGUGGCGAGUGGCGGACGGGUGAGGAAUACAUCGGAAUCUACUUUUUCGUGGGGGAUAACGUAGGGAAACUUACGCUAAUACCGCAUACGACCUACGGGUGAAAGCAGGUGAUCUUCGGACCUUGCGCGAUUGAAUGAGCCGAUGUCGGAUUAGCUAGUUGGCGGGGUAAAGGCCCACCAAGGCGACGAUCCGUAGCUGGUCUGAGAGGAUGAUCAGCCACACUGGAACUGAGACACGGUCCAGACUCCUACGGGAGGCAGCAGUGGGGAAUAUUGGACAACGGGCGCAAGCCUGAUCCAGCCAUACCGCGUGGGUGAAGAAGGCCUUCGGGUUGUAAAGCCCUUUUGUUGGGAAAGAAAAGCAGCAGGUUAAUACCCCGCUGUUCUGACGGUACCCAAAGAAUAAGCACCGGCUAACUUCGUG
Molecule: ribosomal RNA, 492 nt
Filed under: uncultured bacterium
Lineage: Bacteria
Description: partial 16S ribosomal RNA
Rfam family: Bacterial small subunit ribosomal RNA
Source: RNAcentral